AUCUAGCUGACGAGUCCAACAUAGGACGAAACACAUAUUAGAU
Schistosoma mansoni is the source of this 43-nucleotide non-coding RNA. The record is from Rfam. NCBI's taxonomy places the organism in Eukaryota, Metazoa, Platyhelminthes, Trematoda, Strigeidida, Schistosomatidae.